CAGUCCCUGCGGUGUUCGAGAGCGACCAGCGUGUCUUGAGCCGAUAAGCAUCUUUGCAUGGGGAUCAAAGCUAGAUUGGCGCGUAUGCCCACAAGAUGGGAAACCCGAUAUCUGGAAUAGAUCGCCACUUGAACCUCAAGGUUCAAGAACCCCGUUCGCAACGGCACUGUGGGGCUAAU
This 179-nucleotide non-coding RNA is filed under the name Pseudomonadota bacterium. RNAcentral's name for it is "Proteobacteria bacterium (cold seep metagenome) 6S RNA". It matches the Rfam family "6S / SsrS RNA". Rfam says of the family: E. coli 6S RNA was the first non coding RNA to be sequenced, but its function was unknown until recently. It consists of 184 nucleotides that fold into an extended hairpin structure with a large single-stranded internal bulge. The record is from RNAcentral. Lineage: Bacteria; Pseudomonadati; Pseudomonadota.